RNAcentral lists this ribosomal RNA (177 nucleotides) under uncultured soil bacterium. RNAcentral's name for it is "partial 16S ribosomal RNA". It matches the Rfam family "Bacterial small subunit ribosomal RNA", at positions 335 to 524 of the family's 1533-position model. The record is from RNAcentral.
ACUCCUACGGGAGGCAGCAGUGGGGAAUAUUGCACAAUGGGCGCAAGCCUGAUGCAGCGACGCCGCGUGCGGGAUGACGGCCUUCGGGUUGUAAACCGCUUUCAGCAGGGAAGAAGCGCAAGUGACGGUACCUGCAGAAGAAGCGCCGGCUAACUACGUGCCAGCAGCCGCGGUAAU